CUCAGUGCCGCCAGCCCCUUCUCCCUCGCUCCCGUAACACAUACACACACACCCACAAGAGAAAUGGAAAAGAGAGAGCGCCAGCAGAGAAGAGGAAGAGGGGCGAGAUGUCCGCGCCACCGUCCAGUCGUCGCCACCAUCGUAUCAGCGCCUCGCUGCCGUCAUAUUCGCAGGCAUGGAGGAAGCCCUUCGCUGCUGCUCGUGAAGCCGAUGCCGUCGCGGGUCAGAACUGAGGCGAGAGAGAAGGUCACGAAGAAGGAGAGAACCGCGCCGUCCAGUCGCCGUCUAUGAAGCCUGGGUCGCCAUCCACGCUCGCCGCCGCCGCUCGUCUUCCCCACUGCUAGACGUCGUCGCCAUUUGCAAAUAAGAGAGGGAGCUCGCCUGGGCUUCAAGUCUGCCACCAGAUCCGCCGUUGGAGUCGUGAACAGAGGAUGCAAGAGAGAGAACCGUCGCGGAGCUGCCGCCGCUGCCGCGUUGCUGGCCUCGCCGUCGUUAUGCUCGCGUUACUGCUGCGUCGCCGGAGCUCCACGCCACCGUUGCUGCUGCUGAGAACCGCCACUAUUGCCGUUGAGAUCCUCCGCUGUCGUCGUCGCCAGAGUUCUAGUCGCGCUGCCGCUCGAGGUGGUUGCCGGGGCUGUCGCCAAACCGUUCAGUGACCGCCGUUGUUUUGUUUUCUUAGUUCGGGUCGUGUUCUGAGCAUUGCAUAUCAAUUUUAAGUUGCUGUGCGUGCUGUGAAAGUGAUCAAGGACUGAGUUGUGGUUGCUGUUGAUUCCUGGCUGAGAGAAAAGAGUUCAGUUGACACGUUUGGGUUAUGGUUUCGCUUAUCGAGGGAUGGUGGCUUUGUCCCGUCUACAGUGAGGAUGGUGGUUUUAUCCUGCUCACAUAUUGAUAAAUUAUUUGGCAAGGAUGGUGGUUUAAUCCUGCUUGCGUGUUCCGAGCAAGGAUGGUAGUUUAGUCCCGCUUGCUUGUGGAACCUACAGAUAAGGAUUGUGGCUUAAUCUCGCUUAUCCGAGUCGGGUCUGGCAACAUAACCGAUGCAUGAGCUCAUGGCCAGUAGGACAAGCAUGCAUCAUAUGUAUUUAUAUGACAUUGUUUGGGUGUGUAUAUUGUAAUUGGUUUGCCUAUGUGAAUAGUUAUGUUUAAUUGCUAAUUGGUGUACUUGA
Arachis stenosperma is the source of this 1163-nucleotide long non-coding RNA. RefSeq lists it as uncharacterized. NCBI's taxonomy places the organism in Eukaryota, Viridiplantae, Streptophyta, Magnoliopsida, Fabales, Fabaceae. The record is from RefSeq and is a predicted model, not a curated record. The transcript has 4 exons.